CAGUAGCUUAUGGUAUGGACGCAUUAAUCUAAUCCAUCUGCUAUGGUGGCUGUGUUCAAGCGCCCAAGCACUUCAUUCUACAUUCGCUAACUUGAGAGUCUUCCUACACGGGAAGAGGGGAGUUGUCAGUUCCUUUCAACCUUCAAAAACCAUUUACAUCUCUUUCUACCUCUCAAGUUCUCUUUCCCCGAUCAAUCCGGCGAUUGCUGAGAUGAUCCAUCUCUCUCUUUAACAUUCUAGUUGACUUAUCUUUAUUCCCUUUCCAAGCCAAUACACAACAAAACAAUCUGUGGAAAAAUCUUUCCAGUUUUCAGGCCUUUCUUUGAUAUAUUCAACUCGUCUCAUUUGUAUGCAAGUAGCAAUUAAAUCAAAGCAAUGGUAUCAGCAGAAGACUUCAGCUUCCCUAAGAUCACCAACCCUCUUCCUCACUUUGCAAUUUCACCUUCCUUAUGGCGUGUAUCUUCCAUAGUUUAUCCUGAUGAUGAGAGAGAGGCUGCAGGCUUCGCCGGCAAGAGCUUAUCCUCCUUGGAAAGUGAGGUACUAGCCAAUAAGGAGGAGAAGAUGGACAUGUUAUGGGAGGACUUCAACGAAGAGCUUCAAAGGGUUUCUUCCUUGGGCAAGAAUAAACAAUUAUCUGAAUCACCAUCAUCAUCGCCAUCGUCAUCUACUAGAGAUCAUCAGGAGCUGCAGCUUUACUGUGUGCAGGCUGUAACCAUGUCCAAACCUGGCAGUGUAUAUCAGCCUAAGAAACAAAGCUUGGUUAUGGUGGUUAAGGUUUUGAAGAAGAUUUUCUUGCUUCAGAAAUCAGCUCAGAUCAAGAACAACUGAUUAAUUAAAAUAUAUGUGUCUGUUGUGCUAACUUUGGUAUAGAGAACGUACUUGUGAUUAAUAUUCAUCAAUACUUUUGCAAAUCACAAGUGAUUAAUAUACUUAUGGCCCAAUAGACAAAUGAUUUGCAAUUCUACUGUCUUAUUAGCAAAUGCAGAGUAUUAAUUCUUGCCUUUUUGAGAGCUAUGCUUCUGUUUCAGUUUUACCAUCCUCAAAAGCUGCAUGCCUCUGAUAACCAAAUUAUGCCUGCAAAUUAAUUGCAUUGCUUCCUAAUUAAUUACCCUUUUGUUAUUCAACGAAUAUUUAGUUUGUAUUACAAUUAAUUACUGUAAACACUAAUCUUUGUGAUUAUUCAAGAAUUGAUGGAGUAAAAUAUAAUCCAAAUAUUACAACUUGAAUUUUGAAAUCAUUAGUGCCAUGUCCUCCAAGGCAUUCAUACAAACGUUUCCUUUUCUUGCAUUAAUGAUUUGAAAAUUGCUUUGUCGUUGUCACAAUACUUGUCACAAUACUUGUUUUGAAUUCAAACAACUUCAAAUUGCAGUUGAAUAAGGGAAAUUUAUUUAUUUCUUUUUUAUAAUAGGGAAAUUUAAAAUUAGGAACGUUUCAAUUUGCUUUUUUAUCUUGAAUUAUAGGAUUUUAUUGAUUAAUUUUAAUAAGCCAAAAACAAUUUCAUGAGAUAUUUUUGUUAAAUUAUUCGUCAAAUCCUUAAUUUCAUUAUUUG
Molecule: unclassified non-coding RNA, 1549 nt
Filed under: Hevea brasiliensis (rubber tree)
Lineage: Eukaryota; Viridiplantae; Streptophyta; Magnoliopsida; Malpighiales; Euphorbiaceae
Source: RNAcentral